Molecule: non-coding RNA, 24 nt
Filed under: Cricetulus griseus (Chinese hamster)
Lineage: Eukaryota; Metazoa; Chordata; Mammalia; Rodentia; Cricetidae
Source: RNAcentral
CAUUUGAAAUACUUAGGCUGCUGA